AUUCCAGCUCCAGGAGCGUACAUAAACGUUGUUGCAGUUAAAAAGCUCGUAGUUGGAUUUUGUUUCGUCGGUUUUGAGGGGUGUUCAGGGUCCAUGGCGCAAGCCGUGUGCACCCGCCCCGCCGCGAAGCGUCGGGGGAGGUUCUUUCGCGAGGUCUCUCCACGUUACUGUGAGUAAAUUAGAGCGUUCAAAGCAUGCGUUCGCGCAGGCAUAUCCCAGCAUGGAAUAACGACUGACGAUGGGUGCAGUUUGUUGGCCAGCUCACACGUCCAUAAUGGUCGAGAGGAACGGUCGGGGGCACUCGUAUUUCGGCGCGAGGGGUGAAAUCCUUGGACCGUGGAAAGACGACCUGCUGCGAAAGCGUUUGCCAAGGACGUUUUCAUUA
Molecule: ribosomal RNA, 385 nt
Filed under: Eukaryota sp.
Lineage: Eukaryota
Description: partial small subunit ribosomal RNA
Rfam family: Eukaryotic small subunit ribosomal RNA
Source: RNAcentral